UACGAAGGGGGCUAGCGUUGCUCGGAAUCACUGGGCGUAAAGCGCACGUAGGCGGCUUCUCAAGUCAGGGGUGAAAUCCUGGAGCUCAACUCCAGAACUGCCUUUGAUACUGAGGGGCUCGAGUCCGGGAGAGGUGAGUGGAACUGCGAGUGUAGAGGUGAAAUUCGUAGAUAUUCGGAGGAACACCAGUGGCGAAGGCGGCUCACUGGCUCGAUACUGACGCUGAGGUGCGAAAGCGUGGGGAGCAAACAGG
Molecule: ribosomal RNA, 253 nt
Filed under: uncultured bacterium
Lineage: Bacteria
Description: partial 16S ribosomal RNA
Rfam family: Bacterial small subunit ribosomal RNA
Source: RNAcentral